GGGGUAUUAGUUUAAGAAGAACGUGCGGCUGUUAACUGCUUAGUGUGAGGGUUCACAUGCCUCG
Molecule: transfer RNA, 64 nt
Filed under: Teredo sp. TBF02
Lineage: Eukaryota; Metazoa; Mollusca; Bivalvia; Myida; Teredinidae
Also listed under: 1 other name
Description: tRNA-Asn
Rfam family: tRNA
About the family: Transfer RNA (tRNA) molecules are approximately 80 nucleotides in length. Their secondary structure includes four short double-helical elements and three loops (D, anti-codon, and T loops).
Source: RNAcentral